RNAcentral lists this ribosomal RNA (460 nucleotides) under uncultured bacterium. Its description in RNAcentral is "partial 16S ribosomal RNA". It matches the Rfam family "Bacterial small subunit ribosomal RNA", at positions 338 to 795 of the family's 1533-position model. The record is from RNAcentral.
CCUACGGGUGGCAGCAGUGAGGAAUAUUGGUCAAUGGUCGAGAGUCUGAACCAGCCAAGUAGCGUGAAGGAUGACUGCCCUAUGGGUUGUAAACUUCUUUUAUAAAGGAAUAAAACGAGGCACGUGUGCCUUUUUGCAUGUACUUUAUGAAUAAGGACCGGCUAACUCCGUGCCAGCAGCCGCGGUAAUACGGAGGAUCCGAGCGUUAUCCGGAUUUAUUGGGUUUAAAGGGAGCGUAGGUGGGUUGUUAAGUCAGUUGUGAAAGUUUGCGGCUCAACCGUAAAAUUGCGAUUGGUACUGGCAUGCUUGAGUGCAGUUGAGGUAGGCGGAAUUCGUGGUGUAGCGGUGAAAUGCUUAGAUAUCACGAAGAACCCCGAUUGCGAAGGCAGCUUACUAAACUGUGACUGACAUUGAUGCUCGAAGGUGUGGGUAUCGAACAGGAUUAGAUACCCUAGUAGUC